CCACCUGCUGGGUCACUCCCCACAAUGGCCGAAGCUGCGCCGAUCUGGAGCCAAGAGCUUCCUCCAGGUCUCCCACGUGGGUGCAGGGGCUCAAAGGCUUGGGGCAUCUUCUGCUGCUUUCCCAGGCCACAGCAGAGAGCUGGAUCUGAAGUGGAGCAGCCGGAACUCGAACCGUUGCGUAUAUGGGAUGCUAGCACUGCAGGCAGUGGCUUCUUUACCCUCUAUGCCACAGUGCAGGCCCCUGGCCAUGUUGUUUUGUACGUUUAUGACCUCUGUCGAGUGGCUAACACACAUACAUAAUUAAGACAGUGCUGUAAAUGUGGUUUGAACUAUUUUGUUUCAGCCCCCCACCCCCCUUCUUCUAUUAGUUUUUUUUUUUUUUUUUGAUGCAUUUCUCUUUAGGAUACUUAACAUGUAACAAACAUACAUUAAACCUAACACAGGAGCCUUGAUUUAAACAAAUUCUUGUUUUAGGAAAUUUAUUGUUCUUUCUAGACUAUAUAUAUAUAUAUAUAUGGUUUAUUUGUUUGAAAGGCAGAGUUCCAGAAAGAGAGGGAAAGGAGGGGAGAGAGAGAAGAAAGAGAGAAAGAGAGGUCAGUCUUUCAUCUACUGGUUCAUUCUUCAAAUGGCUGCAACGGCCGAGGCUGGGCCAGGCUGAAGCCAAGAGCUUCAUCAGAGUCUGUCAUGUGUAACAGGGAUCAAACAUUUGGGCCAUCUUCCACUGCUUUUCCCAGGCUAUUAUCAGGAAGCUGGAUAGGAAGUAGGGCAGGGAGGAUACAAACCAGCAUGCAAGCGAGACUUUACCCACUUUGCCACAAUGCUGGCCCCUCUAGACAUUUUUUUUUAAAGAUUUUAUUUAUUUAUUUGAGAGAGGGAGAGACAGAAUGAUCUUCCAUCCACUGGUUCACUCCCCAAAUGGCUGCAACGGCUGGAGCUGGGCUGAUGGAAGCCAGGAGCCAGGACUUUGUCCCAGGUCUCCCAAGUGGGUGCAGGAGCCCAGUCACUUGGGCCAUCUUACACUGCUUUCCCAGGAGCAUUAGCAGGGAGCUGGAUCAGAAGAGGAGCAGCCAGGACUGAAACCGGCACCCAUAUGGAGUGCUGACGCUGAAUUUGGAGGCUUAGUCCACUAUGCCUCAAUGCUGGCCCCUAGACAUCCUUAAUCUGAGGUUCAUAGGCCUGUGGUUGGGCUCUUUGAGUUUGGGAGGGUUUGUGAACUUUUUUUUUCCUAAGAUAUAUUUACUUAUUUGAAAGACUUAGAGUUACAGAGAGAGGGAGGCAGAGAAAGAGAAAUCUUCCAUCUGCUGGUUCACUGCCCAAAUGGCUACAGUGGUCAAGCCUGGACCAGACUGAAGCCAGGAGCAGGAAGCUUCAUCUGGGUCUCGCACGUGGGUGUAGGGGCCCAAGGACUUGGGCCAUCUUCUGUUUCUUUCCCAGGUGCAUUAGCAAGGAGCUGGAUUGGAUGUGGAGCAGCUGGAACUUGAACCAGCAGCCAUAUAGGAUGCUGGUGUUGCAAGGGGUGGUUUAACCUGCUGGGCCACAGCACCGGCCCCUGUGAGCUUUUUGAAAUUUCUUGCAAAGUUUUACAUGUAUGUGCAUUUUUCUGGAAAGAGGAUCAAUGAUAUCUGACCACAUUCUGAAGGUGCUGAAAAUAAUCUAAAGGUUAAGACUAGGCAUGCAGCUCUGACAAGGCUCUGCCGUGGGUCGUUUAGAACCAGUUGCUGGGUGAGGAGGUAAAACAAUAGUGAGGAUUUACUUUGUGCCCAGGCACUUUGCCAUUCUUUUCACACAGUUUAACCUACUUACUUUUCACAACUGUUUGUGAUGCUGAUUUCCUUUGCAGACAAGAAAACUUUAAGUUCGUAUUUGCACUAAAAUCUUGCUGUGAGUGAGUGAGUGGCCUGCCUUUUAAAUCUGGAGAACUCACCCCAGCCUGGUUAUCCUGGUGCCGUCACGACCGAUCUCAUUCUGCGGGUUCAUCCUUGCAGGGACCUCAUGUUUUGCUCUCACUCUACAGGAGUGGUCAGCCAGCCUGCAGUUUGUUCAUGUGGUAGAGUAGAUGGCUUUUGCAAUUGACACACACACAGGCUGGCUUUUUUCAGGGUCUGAAUCAGUGGGCAGCAGUGUGAGUAGAAGGACCUGAGAACCCUUUUAAGUAUCAGUAAAUUUUGUUUUCCUGUUAACAGUGGUGGUGAACCAUUACUGUUCCCUUUCCAUCUGUCUUAACAGCAUCUGUAUGGAUCUGAAAAGCAAAUCGCUGCUUUGCAUUGUGUGGGUGUGACUGUGUAUGUAUGUGUAUGCACGUCAAGUAAAACUUUUCAUUUAAGAAUUUGGGCUUUGUACUUCCCUUGGGAAGAUCCACUUCACCAGUCUGGACACACCUGCUAAGUUACACAAGAUAGAAAGGUGUUUGCACAGCAGCAGAGACUGACUGUACAAGUUCCCUGCCUGCUGAGGGACUUGUUUUGGCCGGAAGCCAUACCUCCUAUGACUUAGUUUGGAGUCUUUGUACUGCUCCAUGAAGCCUUCCUUGAGCUCUGAGAGAUUUUCUUGAUGCUGUCUGUGUUAUACUGUAUACCAUUUACUCCUUUAUGGACAAAGGGUGCUUUGAGUAAUACCUAGUUUAAACUUCUGUGGCCAUUUGUCAACGCAGUGUUAAAACUAUAUUUUUUGGUAGCAUAAGUCAUUUAUUAGGUAUUUCCAACACAAUUAUUUUUCAUACUUGAGACUCGGGUACCAUUUAAUAAUUAAAAUUAAAAUGUUAUUUGGAAGUGCCACUGUUUGUAUUUCUUACCUACUUGUUCAGAACUCCAGCCUGGUUGUUUGGUUAGCUUUGCAGGAGUUCCUGAGGCGCCCAGCCUUUUCAUUUUAACUGUGCCUUCCCUGAUUGACAUUAGUAUACCGAACAUAUCCAUAGAGAGACAUCAUCAGAGAUACCACUUUUUGUAUUUUGAUUGUGGUGAAAUGUGUUAAAAUAACCAAAUUUUCAGAAGAACUGCUAAUAUUGAGAUUAAUCCUGCUAACCUGAAUGAAAGCUGGUCAAUAGCUAUUGAAUUUUAAUGGUAAAAAAUUAUAAAGAUUCUUAAAGCUCUCAACUGACUUACAGUGCAAAGGGCAACCCAUAAGAGCAUUAGAGAACAGGUGCUCUUCUCACAGAGUGAUUCGCUGUGCUGGGAGCAGUUGUCUUCAUACCUUGCCUUCCCACAAAGGCAAAGUGUCAGCUGCUUUGUUCUUUUUGUUUUUUUCUUUCUUUCUUUUUUUUUUUUUUUAAAAUUUUCGGGGUCCAAAGCCUUGGGCCAUUCUCUACUACUUGGGCCAUCCUCUACUGCCUUCCCAGGCCAUAGCAGAAAGCUGGAUCAGAAAUGGAGCAACCGGGACGAGCACCUGUGUGCCAGCACCACAGGUGGCGGCUUUACCCGCUGUGCCACAGCGACCACAGCACUGGCUCCAGCUGCUUUGUUCUUAAGGCUGUCUUUCCAUCAUAUUCAUCUCCCUUUUUUCCAAAAGAGAGCAUUAAUUAAGGCACAUUUUCUGAACACAGCUUUCUAUUAUUGUGUGCUUUUAUGACUGCCUUUAUGAUAUCAGCAAGAUUUUUGUUACCGUGAGUGCAUGUUCAGUUCAAUGAUCCUUUGCCUGUUUUUUGAGCUUUCUCUUCUUUCAGGGUUGGUGUCUUGUCCUUUAUUACUUAAGAGGCAUUGUUAGGCAUUUUAGCCCUGCCACUGUGAAAUCUGUCAUACUGUUUGAGUGAAAGAAACAACAACAUGGAGUUUCUGUCCUUCACAAGUUCUCUGGGACAUUCAACCCAUGGCAGUAGGCUGGUAGCUUUGUGCAGUCCCUUGCUGUAGGAUGCCAUGGUGACAGUAUCUCUUAUCAGCAUCAGUGACUUCAGUGCAGGCAGACAUGACGCUCCUUCCCCGAGUCAGGCCUUCUUCAUAGUCUGUAGACAGUGUCAUGCACUGUGCCUUUCUCUCUCUUUUUUUUUUUUAAAUAUUUAUUUAUUUAUUUCAAAGUCAGAGUUACACAGAGAGAGGAGAGGCAGAGAGAGAGAGAGAGAGAGAGAGGUCAUCCAUCCACUGGUUCACUCCCCAGAUGGCUGCAACGGCUGGAGCUGAGCCUAUCUGAAGCCAGGAGCCAGGGGCUUCCUCCAGGUCUCCCACGUGGGUGCAGGGGCCCAAGGACUUGGGCCAUCUUCCACUGCUUUCCCAGGCCAUAGCAGAGAGCUGGAUUGGAAGCGGCGGGUCUUGAACCGGCGCCCAUAUGGGAUGCCAGCGCUUCAGGCCAGAGCGUUGACCCGCUGAGCCACAGUGCUGGCCCCAUGCACUGUGCCUUUUUCAACGAGUGUAUAUUCCUCCUUCCCCUAAAAUGUAUUCUCUAAAUGGAAAUCUGAGACUGGAAGACCUGAGAUUUUCAAUCUGUAAGUAGUUUUUGUGUCCUUUUAAAGGAACUAGCAGCCUGUUUUCACGAAACAGCCUGUCCAAAAAGGGACAGAAGUUUGUCUGUUUCCAUCAUUUUAGCAGAUUGAGUUACCCACCCCCUACCAGCCCCAUCCUUACCUUUUCUCUCUGAGCCCUGUUGAAAUUCCUAGGAUGGGGGCCGGCGCCGGGGCUCAACAGGUUAAUCCUCCGCCUAGUGGUGCCGGCACAGCGGGUUCUAGUCCCGUAGUCCCAGUCAGGGCGCCGGAUUCUGUCCCAGUUGCCCCUCUUCCAUGCCAGUUCUACUAUGGCCUGGGAGUGCAGUGGAGUAUGGCCCAAGUACUUGGGCCCUGCACCCCAUGGGAGACCAGGAUAAGCACCUGGCUCCUGCCUUUGGAUCAGCGUGGUGCGCCAGCCACGGCGGCCAUUGGAGGGUGAACCAACGGCAAAGGAAGACCUUUCUCUCUGUGUCUCUCUCUCUCUCACUGUCCACUCUGUUAAAAAAAAAAAAAAAAAAGAAAUUCCUAGGAUAGUAGAAGAAAGAAAUAUUUGUCAACUUGAUUAAAAGUUGAUGGUAAAAGCAGUCAAAAUGUUUGUGAACAGAAGAGAUCGAAAUGGCUUAAAUGUCUUUCUGGAAUAUCCCAAAUAUUUAUCUCUUGAUAAUUUUUAUACAAGUUAAGUGUGUUAAUACUCAUCCUACCUGGUGGUAAAUAUCAGUUAUAGUUUCCUCUGUUUCAAUUAAUUUUCUGGAAUGUAGGUUAGAUUUUUUUAAAGAUUUAUUUAUUUAUUUGAAAGGCAGAGGCAGAGAGAGACAGAGACAGAGAGAGAGAGAGAGAGAGAGAGGUCUUCCAUCCACUGGUUCACUCUCCAGAUGGCCACAAUGGCUGAGCUACACUGAUCCUAAGCCAGGAGUCAGGAGCUUCUUUUGGGUCUCCCACUAGGGUGCAGGGCCCUAGCACUUGGGCCAUCUUCUGCUGCUUUCCCAGGCCACAGCAGAAAGCUGGAUCAGAAGAGGAGCAGCCGGACUCUAACCUGCGCCCAUAUGGGAUGCUGAUGCCGCAGGCUGAGGCUUAGCCCACUAUGCCACAGCGUGAGCCCCACUUUUUUGUUUGUUUGUUUUAAGAUUUAUUUAUUUAUUUAUUUGAAAGUCAAGUUACAGAUAGAGAGGGAUAGAGAGAGAGAGAGAGAGAGAGAGAGAGAGAAAGAUCGAUCUUCCAUCUGCUGCUUGACUCCCCAGGUGGCCACAACAUCCAGGGCUGGACCAAGCUGAAGCCAGGAGCCAGGAGCUUCAUCUGGGUUUCCUAAAUGGGUGGCAGAAGCCCAAGCACUUGGGCCAUCUGCUGCUGUUUUCCCCAAGCCAUUAGCAGGGAGCUGGAUCAGAAGCAGAGCAGCUGGGACAUGAACCAGUGCUCAUAUAGAAUUCUGGUGCCACGGACAAUGGCUUUACCUGCUAUGCCACAACACCGGCCCCACUUUACAUUUCUGAUUUCAACUGUACUACAUUUCACUAAGCUGGGAAAUGUAGAGUACUGGCUUUGUGUAUAAAAUGUAAGAGUUGGUAUUUGAUGCUUAAAAAAAUAUUUCCUGCUGCCAGUAAUAUAAGAUCAACCUACUUUAUCACUUUCUUUUAGUGAUAUAUUUAAAUUAGAUGGGAAGGAAUUUAUUUCCCUGUUUUUUUAAAGGGCAGUAGAUUUUACUUGCUGAAAUUAUUUAGAGACAGACGAUGUGAAAAAGAAAAUGUGUGGCAAACAUGUGAUAGGAUUCCUGGGACAGUUCCACCCUGAUUCAUGAAGACUGCAAACACUCUCUGUUGUGUGUGGUGGAGGGAGGGCAGGCACUCUUCUUGAUCUUUAAGGGGCAAGUGUUAGCCUGGUAAGUUACGAUGCCCAGGUCCCAAUUUAGAAUACUUGGAUUUGAUUCCCGGCUUUGGCUUCUGACCGUACCUUCCUGGGAGGAAGUGGUGAUAGUUCAGUAAUUGGGUUCCUGCCACUGACAUGGGAGACCCUCACUGAGUUGCUGAUUCCAGACUUUGGCACCAGCUCUGAGCUGUUACUGGCAUGUUACUACCACCCGCCAGUCCGCAGUAAAUGAAUGAAAAAUUAAUGUUGGAAAAAACCUUCAAUUCCAAGUUUCACAGAUUUUCUGGAGCCAUUAGAACUCCAGGUAUUAGAACUCUACAAUUUAGCAUAUAAUUGAGUUGUUUUAUGUAGUAACACAAGAGUUAAGAAAUUGUUGUGUGGACCUCAGAAUGCUUUCUCCAUAAUCAUAAAUAGGCAUUCUGUCAAGUGUAUAAGUGUUUUUUUUUUUUUAAGAUUUAUUUUAUUUAUUUGAAAGAGUUACACAGAGAGAGAAGGAGAAGCAGAGAGAGAGAGAGAGAGAGGCCCUCCAUCCAUUGGUUCACUCCCCAGAUGGCUGCAACGGCCGGAGCUGAGCCGAUCUGAAGCCAGGAGCCAGGAGCUUCCUCUGGGCCCCCCACAUGGGUGCAGGGGCCCAAGGACCUGGGCCAUCUUCUGCCGCUCUCCCAGGCCACAGCAGAUUGGAAGAGGAGCAGCCAGAACAAGAACCGACGCCCAUAUGAGAUGCCGGCGUUCCAGGCCAGGGCUUUAACCAACACUGUGCCACAGCGCCCGCCCCUUGUAUAAGUGUUAAUCUGAAUUUGUUAUAUAGAGAAAAACAGAGACACUGGCAUCUGUGUUCCCGUCAGGCCUGUAUCUGGACUUCUGGGGCCUGAGCCAGCCCCUUCCCUACAGAACAAGAUUGAAAGCCAUCUCACUCCUCCAUGCAGAUGCGGUGAGUUGCCCCUCUCCCCCGAGGCCUGGCUCUGUUCUCUUCCAUGUCCUAUCCUUUUCUGUUUACCCUUUUACUUCUGCCUUUUUUUUUUUUUUGGACAGGCAGAGUGGACAGUGAGAGAGAGAGAGACAGAGAGAAAGGUCUUCCUUUGCCGUUGGUUCACCCUCCAAUGGCCGCCGCGGCCGGCGCGCUGCGGCCGGCGCACCGCGCUGAUCCGGUGGCAGGAGCCAGGAGCCAGGUGCUUUUUUCCUGGUCUCCCAUGGGGUGCAGGGCCCAAGCACCUGGGCCAUCCUCCACUGCACUCCCUGGCCACAGCAGAGAGCUGGCCUGGAAGAGGGGUAACCAGGACAGAAUCCGGCGCCCCAACCGGGACUAGAACCCGGUGUGCCGGCGCCGCUAGGCAGAGGAUUAGCCUAGUGAGCCGCGGCGCCGGCCAACUUCUGCCUCUUAAAACAAACAUCUUGGCCUGUUUUCCAUUCCGACUUUGGUCUGGUCUGGUCUGGUCUGGUCUUGUCUUCCUUCCUUCCUUCCUUUGUCUUUGUCUUUGUCUGUGGGGAGCAAUUGGGAGCAACUCGGACUAGACUAAGUUACUGGAAUUAAGACUUAUUCUAUGCAUCUGCUCUCCCACAAUAUGGCGCUGGGAGAGGAGAAAACAGCUUCUACGCAGCUGCCUCUUGCCAACUUGAGUGAUGACCUCCAGGAGCUGAUCCUGCUCCUGAUUGGAGGAGAGCAGCGUACUCGGCGUGUGGGCAGCCGAGUUGGGAUUGGUGGAAGAGGACUAUAAAGGAGGAGAGAGACAACAUGCACCAGGAACAUCUAAGGGGAACAUCUAUCUGAAGGAACACCUGUGCAGCCCCCGAGAGAGCCGGCCGGCGGUGUGCUGCUCCCCCGCGGAAGUGGGGAAAAGUGGCAGGGGGAACCGCCCUUCCACGGAGGUGGAAGGGUCGGUAGCCAACCCGGGAAGAACCAGCAGCAAACCCGGGGAGGGCCGAGCAGAUGAAAGAACAGCGCAGGGUCCUGUGUCGUUCCUCCACGAAGACGGGGAGCGACAUUUGUCUUUGUCUUUGUCUUUGUCUUUUUUUUGACAGGCAGAGUUAGACAGUGUGAGAGAGACAGAGAGAAAGGUCUUCCUUCCGUUGCUUCACCCCCCAAGUGGCUGCUGUGGCUGGUGCUGCACCGAUCCAAAGCCAGGAGCCAGGUGCUUCCUCCUGGUCUCCCAUGUGGGUGCAGGGCCCAAGGACCUGGGCCAUCCUCCACUGCACUCCCGGGCCACAGCAGAGAGCUGGACUGGAAGAGGAGCAACUGGGACUAGAACCCGGGGUGCCGGCGCCGCAGGUGGAAGCCUAGUGAGCUGCAGCGCCGGCCUCUGACUUCUUCUUUAAAAUAAUUUCAAAUAGGAAAGAUGAAGGAGUUGUACAAGUAACUGCUUGUAUACCCUUCCGCCAGAUCAUGGAAGUAGUUUUAAAAAGCCCCAGGCUAUCCCUGUUGAAAUGAUGGUAUUGAGUUGAAUCAUGUUGGUGCCAUGUCCUAGUGGUAUAGUUGGGUAACGUAGUCUGUCCAAGGCUCAGUCUCCUCUUGUGAAACCCGAGUACUGACUUCGGUACUUGCGGGUCAGGCCCACAGUCAGGCCCGCAGCUCCAUCAUUCUUCCACUGCUUGCUGCCCAGAGGACGCUGGUGGCCGCUGGCUGCAGCAGUCCCGGGUCUGCCCUGAAUCCCAGCAACUGUCGGAAGAGCACACUGGGCUUUCCUUUGUGGGGUGGAGAACUUCUGGUUUGAUUCCAGGAUUUCUCAAACCUGAGUACAUUAUGGACUUAAAUGUUUUUGUGGGUCUUCCAUGUUACUUAAUUUCUACCUUCUUCACCAUACAAAAUAGGAAUAAUCUGUGUGCAUAUAUCCCUAAUACAGCUGUAAAUGACAAUUUAUAUAUUAAUUUCAAGCCACAUUAUGAAAGCCAAUAAAUUUUAAGUAUCAACAUUAGUGGGAUGUUUUUCUUGUGCUAUUACUUUAUUAUUACUAGCUGAGGGCCCAGACUCCUGGGAAUUGGGAACCACAUGGCUGUGUGGACUCCUGGGUUCCCUGUGGGGAUAACAGUUCUCCUGUCGUUUUCCUCUGUCAGUGAAGUGUGGAUUGGCCUGAAGUCUGUGCCCUGACCUGGCACAGGUAUGCUGUUGGCAUGUAUGGUUUCUCUUAUUUACUUACUGGCAGUGCUGUUUAUUUGUCUGUAUAUAAGCUUCUAAGAGUCAAAAUCUUGUAGCUUGACUCUGUAAAGGAGGUUGUGAAAUACAUAAUCCAAAAAAUGAGUGUGUAGGUGCAUACUGAGGUGAAGUAAGAACGAGCUCUUUCCAGUCUCUCGCGUCUCCCACUGUGAGCCAGUGUCCCUCACACCCUCCCUCGGCUGCUUCAUGCUUAGAGAGAUCUGCCUCAUAGGAAGAAAAAUAUUAAAAUUUCUGGUUCAUUAAGUCUGCAAAUUUGAAAAGUUUUUAGGUUUUUUGAAUUGGUUUAAUGCUCUUGGCAAGACAGAGGCAAGGACUAUGUUUUUAUUCAUCUUUUGGCUUACAAUGCUCAGAAUAGUUGCUGGCUCUGAGAGGUUAAACCAUUGCAUUGAUACUUUGUUUCAUUUACAAGAUAGAAAAAAGCACAUGGAUUUUUUUAAAAAAUCAAGUGUAAAGGGAUUUUGAAAUAACGUUAAAAGGGGUUGCUCAGGACCAGCAGCUGAAAGUGUGGCACGUAAUACAGUCGGAGAAGGCUGGCCGAUGCUGGUGUCCUUCCCCCUUCCUGAACAGGAGAGGGUGUGAGAGCAGAAGGGUGUUCCCAGGUGUUGUUCUAGAGAGUAGACAGCAGUAUAGGCUGUGAUUCAGUUUCUUUUCCUGAACUGGUGGAGUUCUGAUGAUCUUGUGUAACUCGUAAAACGUAGGCGUGUGGAUUUGCCAGCUAACAAAGCAUGAGAGCGUUGCAUUAUGUCUUGCUUUUUAGUCAUUUAUGUAUUUUAUGUAUAACCCAUAAUGCUGGUUUUUGGCCUUUUGAGUCUUUAAUAGAAAAAAGCUUACUUUGCUUUUGUAAUGGGCAAGUGGUUUUCACACCAAGACCCAUGUGUCCCUGCUGUGUGGCUGUUGUCCGGGUGUGCAGCCCCUAGUCAGUGACGUUCCUUCUUGAUUCCUGAUUUGAGUGGGGUGUGCUGUGUACUGCCCCAGGGCCUUGGAGCAAUUUAGAGUUUGGAUGGAAAGGCAGGAAGACCAGGGAGCCAUGGAAUGCCUUUGGUGCCCUCUAACAGGAGGUGUGUGUGUGAGCUGGCCGUGGACACGAUGGCUUUGGAGUCGUAAUGGACCUUUAUCUGAGGAUUAUUGGGAGGAUGAUUGGAAGUAGCAUCUCAAGGGAGCUGAGGCAGAAAUGGCUGUUGUACAGCGGUUGUACAGCCCAUUGAGGGGAGUAGGACUGAUGUCUGCAACAACAGAGUGAAGGUUAAAUGACAGAGUUUUAGGGUAGUGUAACUGGAGUGUGGAAUAUUUUUACUUAAACUAGCAGUUGUUGGCUUGUUUUCAGUCUUCAUUUCUUAAAUUUUUUUUUAGUAUUUAGGGAUUUGGGAAUGCUCUUGAAUUAGUAUUAUCACUACAUUUAACAUUCGGCUGAUUUCCCCUGAAAUUUGGAGUUGUUUCUGACCUUUCCAACCUCCCAGUGGUUGAUACCUAGACUGCUGCUUCCUGGUUUUCCUUUUGUUAUUAAUGUGUCAGAUUUAUUAAAAAAUAACCACAGAUGUCCAGAGAUUGGCCCAGUUACUGUUAUGAUUAUCAAUUUGCUCUUAAGAGAUUGAGCAGAUUUGUUAACAAACAAGCCUGGAAUACAGAAAGAUGCCUGAUGCAUUCUUAGGAUUAUUUAAAAGAAAAACAGCUGGCAAAUGAUAAUUGACAGAUAGAUGUAUUUAACCUAAAGAAGUUGAAAUGCUGUGAUGGUUACUGUGGUUAAAUAGAGAAGACACAUCCGUGAGACCAGGAGCUUUCUAGAAAUGGCUGAGGGGUGACAGUUUAAGGAUUGGGUGGCGGGAAAGGGCUGUGAUUAAAUUCCCUGAUGCUGUCAGCGAGUGUAAGGCUGGAGAUAACACCCUCUCCUGCGAGCUCCGGGAUCAAUACUCAGCCUUGAUGGGCUAAAUUAUUAAAAAGAGCCCUUCUCACUGUGUUUCAUUAUCUGGGAUUUGCCUCUGCUAGCGAUUUGUCAGUGGCAUAGGGAGAUUUGUGAAGCAUUUGUAUUAAAAUUAGUAGGCUAGUGAAUCCCUUUGGAUAAUUCCUCUCCAUUUUACAAUACUCCAGAAUAGAUCUGUGGUUUGCUUUUACUUAAGUGGCUUUGCAUGUUUUUCGAGGUACUGGUGGUGCACAUAGACACUUUUUUUUCUUUGUGUUCUGUCUUUUGAACCUCUGGGCAGCUGGUCUGUACCUUACAGUGACUGUCUUAGCAACAUCAGAUGCGUUUGGCAUUCUACAGUAUAUCCUUGCACAUGGAUUAACAUACACUGAACCUUGUAUUCUUUACUUAUGAAGGAAAUUAUACAGGAAAUUGGGCUUGUUUUUGUUUCUCAGCUUUUGAUAGUGGGCAGAGAUGGGAGUAUUAGUUGGGUAGGUGGUGGUAGGGUUUUGGCCAACUGAUUGAAAAGGAAAGCAGCCCAUUUUGUGAGCCUGCGAGAGGGAAAAAUGAGGUGACCAGUGCUGUCGUCAUGAGAGCUCGGGGAGGACGAGGAGGGAGAGCUGUGGCAGGAAGCCCUUCCCCCAUCCUCCAGGCUGGGGGAGCUCUGCCGGCAGUCCUGCUGUGUGGACUCAGACUGGACAUCCCGAUUGCUGGUGAAGUCCAGAACCUGCUCCCCUUCCAUGUCUCCCGUGCCAGAUUGGUGGUGUGAUACAUUUAUGAUCUUGUGGUGGAGCUGAUGGCUUUUUUUGAUUCAGCCUCAGGAAGAACGUAGUCAGCUAGACAGAGCCCUGCUGGGUUUUGAGCUCUGUCUCAAACCGUGAGACUAAACAGUCACAACGCGUUCUGCUUCCCUGGAAAAGGGGUCAGAUCUGAAACUCUUUCCUGUCAUGUAGAGGGAGGGGACACUGAUGAAGAGAGGGCUGGCAGAGAACUUUGGAAUCUGUGUGGUUGACUUCUGAUCACAAACCUGGAGGUGCUUGGCUGUGAAAUGUCCAGCCCUGGAGGGACACCGCGACCCUGCCGUGGGUGCUGUGCUCGCCCACGAGAAGUGGGCGUCAAGCAAGAGCUCCAGGAGGAAUGGGUGGAGGGAGCCGUAUGGCCUCUGGGUGUGGCAGAUGGCCUUGCUCCUGGGUAUUGAGAAGGCCGGACAGUUGGCACUGCCCCAGGCCCCGCUGGUCCCCUGACGUGGGUCGCCCAGGCUUCCUACAGAUAAUCCACUGCUUUAGCUUCUUCACCUUCGACCCAGCCUGGUGUGCUGCUUUCUGUUUCCUUGUUCCUGGCAUUUAUGUCUGGAUUCUGCUGCCAGCUUCAUGGCUGCUGCAUGCCUGUCCAGGCCAUUUUGGUUGAGUGAGUAGGUGAGGACACAGUUGGUGUGGAGCCUGGGGAUGGAAGAGAGGUGGUGCUGCAGCAGGUGGGGUUGCUGUACACUUCUAACCCAGUGAGGAAGUCUUGGGCACACACUCGGGUCCCGUCACAGUCAUCCUGGGAAUCCAUAAAAGGGUUUUCAAAUUUGUUUUAGUUUUUCUAAGUUUUAUUUAUUUUGAAAGGUAGAGUUACGGUGGUGGGAGGCAGGGCUUGGGGGGAUCAGUCUUCCAUCUACUGAUCCUCAAAUGCCCACAAUAGCCAGGACUGGGCCAGGCAGAAACCAGGAGCCCAGAAGUCCACCCAUGGGUACGGACCAUGCUGCCUCCCGGGCACAUUAGCAGAAGGCUGAAUCUGAAGCCAAGCCAGGACUCAACCGCAGGCACUCUGGUGGGGGAUGGGCAUCCCCAAGCAAUGGCCUAGCUUGCUGCAGCUCAGCACCUGCUCCUCUUUGUUUAUAGGCGACCUUGAGGGAGUUGGAAUUCUGAGUCUUUUGUUCUGUCCGAGGAUAGAGACAUGGCCUUAUAUACUCUGAGGAGAAAGGCAGAAGGGCUGAGGCUUAGACAACUGUUAGUGUUGCUUCACGCUGGGAAGACAUGACGCCUUCCUGCUAUGGUUCCCUCACAGUAAAUGUUGGGAGCAGAGGAGUGGCUUCUUCUGCCACUAAAAGGGACUGAAAAACCCUCGACAGAGUUAAUUACAGAGUCCUGGUAAGUGUUGAUUUAAAAGUUGAGAUUCUGGGGCAGGUGUGUGAUCUAGCAGGUUAAGCCGUGCCAGCAUCCCAUAUGGGCACCAGUUUGAGUCCCGACUGCUCCACUUCUGAUCCAGUUCCCUGCUAAUGUGCCUGGGAAAGCAACUGAAGAUGGCCAAGUGUUUGAGCCCCUGAAUUCACUUGCGAGACCGAGAUUAAGCUCCUGGCUCCUGACUUUGGCCUGGCCCAGCCCUGGCUGUUGCAGUCAUCUAGGGAGUGAAUCAGCAGAUGAAAAACUUCUCUCUCUCUCUGCCUCUGCCUCUCCCUCUCUGCAACUCUGCCUUUCGAACAAAUAAAUAAAUCUUCAAAAAAAUAAAAAGCUGAAAUUCGCUUGCUUUACAGCCUUGAUUGUUGUCCUGACCGAGCCAAGUCUGCUGCUGAUGCGCUUGCGUGUGGAAUAGCUCCGAGUCUGCCUGAGCGGGGCUCUGCUGCAGGCCCCAUGCCCUCCUGUGACAGGGCGCUGAGCUGCGGGGCACCUCUGAUCCCCCUGCCCAGGUCCUUCAGUCAUAGAACUUCAGCGCGCCUGCUGCUCAUCUCACCUGGUUUUCCAAUCCUAUAUGUUUCACUCUUCCCAUCAACUCACUGUUGGGUAAAUCAUUUUAGAGACCUGAUAUAGGGGCCGGCACUGUGGUGUAGCAGGUUAACACCCUGGCCUGAAACGCCGGCAUCCCAUAUGGGCACUGGUUCUAGUCCCGGCUGCUCCACUUCCCAUCCAGCUCUCUGCUAUGGCCUGGAAAAGCAGUAGAAGAUGGCCCAAGCCCUUGGGCCCCUACACCCGCAUGGGAGACCUGGAAGAAGCUCCUGGCUCCUGGCUUCGGAUCGGCACGGUUUUGGCUGUUGCGGCCAAUUGGGAAGUGAACCAUCGGAUGAAAGACCUCUCUCUCUCUGCCUCUCCUUCUCUCUGUAACUCUGACUUUCAAAUAAAUAAAUCUUUUUUAAAAGAGAGAGAGACCUGAUAUAACAAGAGACAACACGAAUUUCCUUGAGAAUUGAAAUUUCUGCCUAAGAAUUUGAGUAUCAGUACAAAUUAAAUGGUUGAACACUUGCCGUGUUGACUGCAUAUGGAAGCAGUGAGAGGUAAACACCAGCCAGCUUUCCACUGGCUGGCAGGUGCCACGGGUAGCUGUGAGGUUUGCUUAUGCCUGGGCCCCUAGAUUAUUUUCAGACUGCUUGCAGGUUGUGGCAGGGGUGGUACUUGAGCACCCACACAUGUUCUGUAUCAACUUUGUUUCUAAAGAUUGUCACUUAGCAUCAUGAACACAUUGGUCUCCUCUAUCCCCUCCCCUCCCCUCCCCUGCCCUGCCCUGCCCUCCCCUGCCCUCUCUUUUUUAAAAGAUUAAUUUUAUUUAUUUGAAAGGCAGAGUUACAGAGAAAGAGGGGCCAGCACUGCAGUGCCGGCAUCCCAUAUGGGUGCUGGUUUGAGUCCCGGCUGCUCCACUUCCAAUCCAGCUCUCCAUUAUGGCCUGGGAAAGCAGUAGAAGAUGGCCCAAAUCCUUGGGCCCCUGCACCUGCGUGGGAGACCUGGAGGAAGCUCCUGGCUUCAGAUCGGUGCAGCUCUGGCCAUUGCAGCCAAUUGGGGAGUGAACCAGCAGAUGGAAGACCUGUCUCUCUGCUUCUUUUUCUCUCUCUGCCUCUCCUUCUCUCACUUUCAAAUAAAUAAAUAUAUCUUGAAAACAAAACAAAACAAAACACAGAGAGAGGUCUUCCAUUCGCUGGUUCAGUCCCCAAAUGGCCGCAAUGACUGGGGCUGGGCCAGGCCGAAGCCAGGAGCCAUGAACUUCAUCCGGGUAUCCCAUGUGGGUGAAGGGGUCUAAGCACUUGGGCUGUCCAUUGCUUUCCCAUGUGCAUAAUCGGGGAGCUGGAUUGGAAAUGGAGCAGGCAGGACUCCAACCAGCGCCCAUAUGGGAUUCUGGCACUGCAGGCCUGGGCUUUAACCUGCUGUGCCACAGUGCUGGCACUUCAGUUUCUUAAAGGAGAUACAGUGUCAGCGCAGUUCACUGGGUUUCUGGGGUCGUAUUCUGACUUACAUCUGGAAAACUAUUGGAGACAUUUUGUACUUGGUUCAGCUUUCUUUUGGCCAAUUUUAUAUCUCAUGAACUGAAACUACAAUAUCUGCACACCAAGUCCUGGUGUUCACGAGACAGGUGGCUCAUUCUUACCACCUUCCAGAGGAGCACCGUCCUGUUCUGUGAGGCCGCCCAGCUAGCUGGCUAAUAAGGUUGUUACCUAUUAUCAGAUGCUUUUUGGACCCCGAGAGGUGGCAAAGCCUUUUCUUAAGUGGCCAGGUAGUAAACAUCUCCCGUUUUGUCUUCUCUGUGGCCGACUCAGCCAUAGAUAAUCCAUAAACAGAUGAGCAGGACUGUGUGGUGCUGUGCUCCAGUAAAACUUUAUUUACAAAAACAGAUGUGGCCCAGAUGGGGCCUGUAUGUGGGGCUGGUAGUUUGCUGGCCCCUGAGCGGGAAUACACUGUUGAGGAUUGGUGCAUUGCUUUUCUCUUCACUGUGGCUUGCUGCCUCUCAGAGUGGAGUGUGGUGUGCUGUUAGAGGGGAGUUGCUUUUCUUCUUCCCUGUUUUUUAAACUGGUGAGUGCUUACACAUCUGAACCUGUCCCUGUGCCUGUGCCUCUUACCUUUAACUGAACCUGUGCCUGUGCCUCUUACCUUUAACUAGACUUCCUCCUUUUGUUUUUGUAUAAUGCAUUAGUAGAUAGGUAGUCUUUACAAAAACUCAUUCUCACUAAUGAUCUUGCAGACUUUUAUAGGAUGCUUAGAAGCCAAGGGCAAUUAAGUUUGCUUCUUCAGCUUGUUUUCCUUUGGCAAUUAGCUUGUAUCUGUAGAGAAAAUACAAAAGGUUAAAUGUGCAUAAUAAAAUGCGUUAAAGUUCAUGUCCUGGUUUUCUUGUGUGUGUUAAAUGUUGCAAUAAAGUAUUCAGGGUAACAGAAAGGCCUUUUUUAUCAUUUGGUAAAAAUUAGAUCUUUUCCAUUUAAUUCAGUAUUUAGCAGAUAAGUAUUGAUAUGGGUAAAUAGUUCAGCAUUUUGUUCAGAUGUAAAAAAAAAAAAAUGCAAUACCCAUAUAGGCAAGUAGGCAAAGAAACCUGCCCAAAGAAAAAUUGGUCUUCAAGUUAAAGGUGACUUGACUAACAUAACCAGCAGCUUUUUGGUAAGAUGCUUUUGCUUGAAGGACUUCCUGGGAAGUAAGUGCAUUGGCUCCAUUGCAGACCUUUCUUCACUGAAAGAGUGAUUCUCAUAAAUCAUAUGUGUGUCAAGGGACCGUGUAUGACUGUCACCUAUGACAGUAACAUGCAAACCACUUUUAAGAAACAUUGCUCCUAAUUGACAGAUUGUAUCUGAAUCCAGUGUCAGUGUUUCAGGUUGGAUUUGAGAUCAGGGUUGGAGGGUUUGUGUUAGAACCUGACCUACUGUGCUAUGUAUUCCUUGUUCCAGUUCAAUUGCCGCUUUGCUGGUUCGGUCAGUAUCAGAGUUGCUUGGGGUUUCUGCCCUCGGCCUCUGUGCACAGAUGCUUUGUUACUGCUGUGAAAGGAGCCUGCCUUACUGCAGCCGUUAAAUCUGACGGGCUGAGUAUAGCGUUUUUGAUUGGACCUUUCUACUCAGUGUUUGCAUUUUUGUUAUUUGUUGUGAGCACACACCUAUGAUCAUUUAUAUAGUGUUUUACAUGUGAUCAUGAUGAGCUAGUUCCACCUGCUUGAGUGGCAGAUUGUCCUUGUGGAACGAGGGCCUCACUGGCUUCUGUUUCCAGUUCUGUGCUUGCUAGCUCUGUUACCCAAGUCAAACCACAUCUUUGAGAAUGUCAGUUUCCAUGGGUGUCGAACCUGGGUGACAGCCAUCCUGCUGACUUCAUAGCAUUAUUCUCUUGUGUCAGUGAAAGGUGGUGAUGCGGUGCCUUCUCACUAGGAUUGGUUGUAUACAACAAAACCCCAGAUCAUAGUGGUUUAGGGUAGAAGUCUGCGUCCUCAUUUUUUAACUGAAAUUGUUUGUUUAAGGCACACAGUGUGGUAUUUUCAUACACACACACACACACACCGUGAACUGAUUCUUACAAUCAAGCUAAUUAACACUGUAUUCUCAUCUAAAAUGAAGUGUUCCCCAGGGGGUGGCAUGCAGGCCAGUAGUGUGGCCCUCAUCCUCAGGUAUCCAGUCUCCUGUUGGCUCCCACCUCCUCAUUCCUCCUCCAGGUAAACAGAUGAACUUGCGGAUGGCUGCAACAGCUGAGCCCUCAGGUCUUUGCCCAAGGCCAGUUGUGUUCAGAUUGGGCUCCUGGCCUGAGUUCUUUAUUUCCACCUCGCCCUGAGAUAAGUAUAAAACUGAGAGUGGCUAUCCAGAAGCUUUUAUAGCCAUUUGACAUUGCUACAGCAUUUCUACGGAUUUUAUGAAAAUGUUGCUCUUCAGUGGGUUGAGGGACACUGGUCCUGCAGCAUAGCCAGGCAGCUGAAAGCAGAGACACACAGGUGUUGAUGUGGGCCCAUUCCAGAGCUCUUCCAGUAGUGCUGUAACCAUGUCUGGUUUCUGUGGGCUUCCCUGCCUUCAAGGGAGGCUGAGGAGUUGUUUUCGGCUAUACUCGAACAAUACAGGGAAAAUGGGGAGAACGGAAGUUAAGGGGGCCUCCAACAAUCUGUACCACAGCUGAAGAAAUCUGAAAGCAGUUGGCAGCGUCCAGCAUAGAAUCACAUCAGUUCCUGAGUAGUGGUAUCACCGGGGAUCAUAUCUAAUUCUGGGGGACCAGGAGAACUACCACGGAUCUCAGAAGGGAAAACACACCAAGCACACCAAAAGCAGAGUAGAGUUAUUGGAGAAAGAGUAUGUGGUUAUUGUUUGUAGAAAAGAACAUUUUCAACAGAUUUUAGAUAUAUUUAUAAUCUAAUGACUUAGAACUCAAUUUAUGAAUUGGAUUACAGUUCAUCCUUUUAAACUAACAUUGACUUUCCUCAUGCAAAUAUGUUUAAGUUUGAUUCUCCUAGGAUAGGAUGGUGGUGUUGAACUCUUUGCCAAGAUAUCUUUACGAGGACACCUUUUUAUUGGUUUGGAAAUGAUCUGAGCCUCUUGUAUGUUGAAAGUAAAUGAAUACAGGGCAGAAGUAGAAGGGAAGGUAUUUAAAGACAUGUUAUUAAGAAUGAAGUGGCUUGUGAUUUAGUUGAAUUUUGUCUGUGUUUCCCCAUCUUUAUGUCUUUGUCCAUGCUCAGUAAGAGAGGUGCUGUAAAAUGCCUUCACGAUGAAUUUACUGCUUCAGAUUGGCAUUGCAGUGUGUUUUCCUACUAUGGAAAUCAUUGCUUCCUUCCAGGAUGUUAAAGCAAAGUUUAUUAAACCCUCACUUUGUGUAGCAUUUGUUGUAGGAGCUUUAGAGGGAGGAAUUCAGAAACGAGUGACAGCUGCGUCUUUAAGAGAAGACCUUUGUUCUUACCCUCACCGUGCGCACAUGUCUGGAGGUGCCAGGUGUGAGCUCGGGCCUCUGAAGUAGCUGGGAAGCAGUGUGUGUGCGCCACAGGAGGUGUGCAGUGCAGGGAAGCCACCACGUGGUGGGACUGCCGGUUGGUAGGGGGGAGGAUUUGGUGUGAGUCUGGAGCUAGCUGAGACACAUGUGGGCAGUGGAAUUGAGAGGCCACUGAGUUCUGGGUGGAGAGACUGAUACCCCUCACUCUUGGUUUAGAAUGGCAUUUGUCCUCUGCGGUCCUCACCGUAUGGAAUCAUAUACAGUGAUUGCAUGUGGAGUGUGGCAAGGUGGCAGGGAAGGAGGUCUGGCAAUUGGCCUCUGUAGAUGUUGGGGUAUGAAUUUUCCUUGGAAAGCAUUAAUCGGCAUUUAAUUUUCCCCUUUAACCAGCAAAGAUUGUGCCAGUGGUCAUUUGCUACUAACAGAAGGUCAGUGGCUUCUGGAAGGGUCAAGACUUGUCCUGCUUUCAGACCAUUUUUUCUUAACCAUUUUGCUUGUAGACUGUGUCACUUCCGGUCAUUUUACCCCAGAAAAGCAUUUUCACACCACCAGGUUAUUCAGAGAGAAAAACGUGCCUUAUCUGCUGACGCAGGUAGCUUAGUCCAUGCUUUCUUGUUGCCCCUUGGAGGCUGGAACAAGUUGUGGUGGAUUUGAUGACAAUGCCCCCGACAUCUCUUGCCGCUCUCUCGUCAGGGUCACAGUGGGAAGAGGACUGCUGGCCAUCUUCCCGCUCCACAGACAUCUGGGAAGCCCACACUCAGUUGUUUGCAGCUGAAGGAGCUGCAUCACUUUUAGCACUCCACACACCAGCAGAAAAGUUGAGUCAGGACUGUUUGCAGACUCAUUGGUUGGCAGCUCUUUCUACUCAGCAGUUCUUCAACUGUUUCCAGAAAAAAAAAAAGCUGCCAGAGGAUUCUGGGUGAGCUCAGGAACGUGGCCCCCUCUGAGGGAACCAGCCUGGCCAAGGAAGCUGCAAGUACGGGAAGUCAAAUAACCUCGUAGCCAAGUGGAAGAAAGGCAGAAUGAUGACUAGAUUGUCCAGACUAGCAAACGACACUGUUCCUUCUGUACCUGGAAGCACUUCCUUUCUAAGUGUGAAUGAAGAUAAUAAAAAUUUCAAGUUCUGCCGGUGCCACAGCUCACUAGGCUAAUCCUCCGCCUUGCGGCGCUGGCACACCAGGUUCUGGUCCCGGUCGGGGCGCCGGAUUCUGUCCCGGUUGCCCCUCUUCCAGGCCAGCCCUCUGCUGUGGCCAGGGAGUGCAGUGGAGGAUGGCCCAAGUGCUUGGGCCCUGCACCCACAUGGGAGACCAGGAGAAGUACCUGGCUCCUGCCAUCUGAUCAGCGCGGUGCACCAGCCAAAGCGGCCAUUGGAGGGUGAACCAACGGCAAAAGGAAGACCUUUCUCUCUGUCUCUCUCUCUCACUAUCCACUCUGCCUGUCAAAAAAAAAAAAAAAAAAAUUUCAAGUUGUGCUUUUGGAAAGCUUACAUAGUUUAGUUUAUGAAUUUUUUUCCAGCACCAUAUAUCCCAGAAUAAAAAUACCAGAUCAUCUAGUUUGCCUAUGAUUAAAUGUUACCAGUAAGUUGGAAAGUGGUUUGCAUUUUUUUUUACUCUGUUUUUGGGUGUCUCUGGCCUUGGGCUUAAUUCUGUACGGUUUCAAAAAGUCUUUCAUGAGCUAAUUUACCUCCCCAAAUGGAAUUUAAACCUGUGGAGAAAACUUGUCUGGUAUUUUCUGUGGUCCUUACUACUGGUCAGUGUGGAGUUUGGAUUCUCUGUAUCUUGAUUUGAUGAGUUUGUUCUGUGUCUUGAGUGGCUGGCUCCACACCAUGAAGGUCUCAGUUCAAAAAAUGCCACCUUCUCCAGAGACCUUGCCUUUUCUUCUCUUUUCUACAGAUUUAUUUAUUUAUUUAUUAGAGAGAGAGAGAGAGAGAGAGGCCAGAUGGCCUCAGUAACCAAGGCUGAGCCAGGAGCUUCAUCCAGGUCUCCCACACUGCUUUCUCCAGGCCAUCAGUAGGGAGCUGGAAUGGAAGUGGAGCAGCCAGAACACAAUCCAGCACUCCUAUGGGAUGCCAGCAUUGCAGGUGGUGGCUUUACCUGGCUAUGCCAAAAUGUCAGCCCCAUCCAGGAGCCUUUUCUGACCGUCCUCCUCAGGCCUCGUCCCUUUUCCUUUUUGGUCUUUUUGGGAGAUUUGCCCAGUUCUGAAGUCUUUAUUGUUUUUAUGGCACCGGUCAUCUUGUUGUUUGUUUAUUGUUUUUGUUGGCUGGAUGCCUCCCAAAAGUGACAGUGGAAGAAGAGUCACCGCAAACCACUGACCUGAUCCAUCCCAAGUUGGGGGCAGUUGGAUUCCAAAGAAAGAAGCACUAAUUGCCAGGGUGAGCAGUCCAAAGCUUUUUAUUAAGGAGCUCAAGCAGAGAAGGCUGUCUGGUUCUCCAGUGGGUGCCGAGACAAGGGUGCUCUACCUCGGUAUGUCCUGAAAGGGAGUUGUCGAGUUACGGAGUUUGAGCUUUACGGAAUGUGGUUCAGGCUUGGGGGUAGUUUCUGUGUGUUCAGCCUCAUGUUUGAUCUCUCAGUGUUUUAAGCUACAACCUCAGCCACUUUAUCAGUGCCAGGGAUGUUCAAGGCGCUGGCUGGCUGGAUCACAGAGCUGUCGGAUAUUUUGUGAUUCUUGAUGAGAGCAAGGAACGAAUGGGGAACUGGGAUCCUGAUUUUGUUUGCAUUUCCUGUAAACACUCAUUGAGAGCUCAGCCUCAUCUGUCUAAACUCAGUGGCUGUUAUAGGACCUGGAACUUAGAUAUUCAGUACACAAGUGUUGAAUGAAAGGAAAUGUGUAUCAGUAUUUGCAAUUUAACAGAUUGUGUCUGGGUCAGUGGUUUCGUACGUCAUGUUGUGAGGGGUUCCAUUUUAGGGAUUAGUGUGGAGGUGGUCAAAGGGGAGUUUGGUGAGAAGAUCUCUGGGCCUGUUUCUGUGUGGGACAUGAUUUAGUGGAUGAGGAAGUGAUCAGAAUUAAUUUAUAAAGAUCUUGUUUGGAAAAAGAUAAAUAUAUAAAUAGCCAGUUUCUGCCUUAUGGCAUCUGUACAUCUCAAACUCCUCUUUAACUGAUAUUCCUUAGUGCCUUUGUUUCAAGUUGUUGAUAGAGCAUGGCACAGGCUGUUGUCUUUAUCCUGGACCACAUGCUGUCAGCCUUCUGUGUCCGAGGAUCAACCAUCCAUAGAUUUGAGAGUAUUUGGGGAAAAAAAAUGUGUCUGUACUAAUAUGUACAGACCUUUCUCCCAGUUAUUCCAUAAACAACAUUGUCUACAACUCUUUACAAAGUUUUUACAUUGUAUUAGGUAUAAUAAGUAAUUUAAAGAUGAUUUAAAAUAUCAGAGAUGGUGUGGAUAGGUUAUAUAUGUGUGCAAGUCUUUACCCUCCAGGACAAAAACCCACAGAUAAUGGACAACAGUGUCCUCUUGGUUGCUUAGGAUUUGUCUGGAUUUUGGGUCAGGUAGUCACUCCUCAUAGACUCAGGUGUAGACCUUAGGUCAGGGUUACAUCAUACAAAGCAUGGCCACUCACAGAGACUGGACAAAUAACUUCUCUUAAGAAAGGGCCCAGUGAGAGUGAAUUUGGCUACUUACUUCUUCAGCCCAUGUGCCCUUUGCAACGUUUGAUGAAUUUAGAUAUGCUUCUGAAAACAGAAGCAGCAUGAAAAUAUUAGAUUAGAAUUUAAGUGACUUUUUCAGUGACUUAUUUAAAAUUUUUCCAGUGUUUUCACUGAUUUUCUUUUUAAGAUUUUACUUAUUUAUUUGAGAGGUAGAGUUACAGACAGUGAGAGGGAGAGACAGAAAGGUCUUCCCUCCUUUUGUGGGUUCACUCCCCACGUGGCUGCCAUGGCUGGAGCUAUGCCUAUCCGAAGCCAGGAGCCAGGUGUUUCUUCCUGGUCUCCCAUGUGGGGGCCGGGACCCAAGCUCUUGGGCCAUCUUCUACUGCUUUCCCAGGCCACAGCAGAGAGCUGCAUUGGGAGAAGAGCAGCUGGGACUCGAACUUGGGGUGCUGGCGCCGCAGGCGGAGGAAUAACCCAACUGCCCAUGGCACCGGCCCUCAUUGAUCUUUUAAAAUGUUUUUAUUUAAAAAAAAAAAAUUUUUUUUUUUAACAGGCAGAGUGGACAGUGAGAGAGAGAGACAGAGAGAAAGGUCUUCCUUUUCCGUUGGUUCACCCCACAAUGGUCACUGUGGCCGGCAUGCUGCUGCCCGCACACCGCGCUGAUCCGAAGGCAGGAGCCAGGUGCUUCUCCUGGUCUCCCAUGCGGGUGCAGGGCCCAAGCACUUGGGCCAUCCUCCACUGCACUCCCGGGCCACAGCAGAGAGCUGGCCUGGAAGAGGAGCAACCGGGACAUAAUCUGGCACCCCGACCGGGACUAGAACCCAGGGUGCUGGCGCCGCAGGCAGAGGAUUAGCCUAGUGAGCCACGGCGCCCACUCCAGAGUGGGGAUUGUAGAAUCGUGAGUGGUUUCUCCAGGAAGGGCGUGGGGAAGGGUACCUGAAAGUCAGAGCUCAAAGGAUGGGAUGAAUUUUGGCUGAAGAACAGAAAAUGUUUUCAGAGACUGGAAGCAGAUUCGGGUGUUGUUUUGUGAAUAUUGGACAUCUGCCUUGGUUUGGUGAAGGAAGUGAUUGGCGCUAGAAUGGGAAAAGUGUGCCGAGUUCUGAAAACUGAGGAACUGGAUUUGUGUCGGGUGUGAGUGCCUGGUGACUUCUUAGUAGCUGAAUGCGUGUGCAGAGCUGUGCUUUGAGAAGAUUAGAGGUGGAAAGGACGAAUUAGGAAGCCACCAGAGUAGUUCGCAUGAACCUAGCUUUUAUACUUCAACAUUGAUGCUGUGUUCUAGUUUCUUGGGCUUUAUUCCUAAUCCAAGGAUUUUAUUCUGAAGAAGCCAUUCAUUCAUUUUCUAGAAUCCUGAGACAUUCCAGCUGCGUAGUUAUAUCAUGUCUUUCUUUUCUUACAUGCACUUUUUUAAGGAUUUAUUUAUUUUAUUUGAAAGAGUUAUACAGAGAGAAAAGGAGAAGCAGAGAGAGAGAGAGAGAGGUCUUCCAUCCACUGGUUCACUCCCUAAUUGGCUGCAACGGCCAGAGCUGUGCCAAUCCGGAGCCAGGAGCCAGGAGCUUCCUUCGGGUGUGGUGUAGGGGCCCAAGGACUUGGGCCAUCUUCUACUGCUUUCCCAGGCCAUAGCAGAGAGCUGCAUCAUAUGUGGAGCAGGCGGGUCUUGAACUGGUGCCCAUAUGGGAUGCUGGCACUGCAGGCAGGGACUUUACCCGUUACACCAUGGUGUGCACGGCCCUGGUAGCACAGAUUUGGUACUAUCUUUAGUUUGUUUGGAAGUAGCACUGUACUCUGUGACUGGGUGUGGUCUUUGUUAGCCUUUUAUUGUGGGCUGGCCAUCUCCUUAUUCUUUAUUUCUAACAGUAACUACCCAUGAGGCUUUGCUUCAGUUCUUUUAUUUGUUCAUUUUGAUGGGAUUUUAACUUUUCUGAACCUGUAGAAGAUGCAGCGCAGAGCAGCCUUUUGUUGCUUUCAUCUAGUGUUGAAAGCUGCAGCAGCUGGCUGCCCGUGAUCCCCCCCUUCCCUCCCUCACUUUCAGUUGGAUCUUUUUAUUUUGCUGAAUUUAUACCCUACCACCUGUAGUUUCUCCUCUGCUGUUUGUGCUAGAAAUAGUUGUGGUGGGCCAGGUUUUGGAGUAAACGCGUAGGCUUACCUGCUGUCCGUCUGGGCAAAGCCUGCAGGCCCCACUGCCCUGGUCACCUUGGCCGCUUGGCCUGGUAGGUGCACGGGGAUCCUCCUGGUCCCCUGUCUCUGCAGAUGGCAGAACCACCAGUCUUAGCAGCUCUUGCAGUUUACCCCUUCCCGCCUGCUUGUUUCCAGGCUGCGGGGCUGCCUUUUUUAAUUUGCUUGUGUAGUCAGUGGGAGUUUGCUUUGACUCCCUGGUUGACCUGUUUUUACACUUGGUACUCCUGCUGUGUUAGCUGUUAUUGAAAUGACCUUUCACUGAGCCCCAGCACCACCGGCACUAACACUAACAUGGUGACCUGCUUUCCUGGCCACCAGUGUCCCGUGUAAACCACAAGGGGGGUGCGGGGAUGGGCACAGAGGACCCUGCCAGACAAAAGAGAUACUCUGUUACCUGCUCAGUCUUUCCUCCAUUGAAAUUUCCCUACACACUGGUCCCACCCAUGUCAGAAAGAGUCAUAAAUGCUUCAUGUUUUUCUAAAGUUUUUUGGGUUAGAUUCAGGCUCAUACAAGAAGAUUAUCUGAUCCUGUUGGCUUAAUUUGAUAUCUAGCUUGGCCUGUGAAAUUUAGUCACUGGGCCAGUGUUGUGUCAUAGAGGGUAGAGCUGCUACCUGCGGUGCUGACAUCCCAUGUGGGCACCGGUUCAAGCCUUGGCUGCUCUACUUUUGAUCCAGCUCUCUGCUAAAGGCCUGGGAAAAGCAGAUGGCCCAAGUGUUUGGGCCCCUGCCACCCAUAUGGGAGACCCAAAUGAAGUUUCUGGCUGCUGGCUUUGGCCUGGCUCAGCCCUGGCCAUUGUGGCCAUCUGGGGAGUGAACCAAUGGAUGGGAGAUGGAUAUCUCUCUUUCUCUCUCUCUGUCUUCCUUUCUCUCUAUCCAAAUAGAUGAAUAAAUAAAUAUAUUUUCAAAAAAGGAAGUGAAAAGAACAACCCACAAAACGAGAGAGAAUAUUUGCAAAUCAUGUAUGUGAUAAGGGACUUAGACUUAAGAAAAAAGAAAGAAAUUAAUUUUAUCAUUGAUGGUGAGAGGCUCAUUCCAUGUCACUAUGAUGGUUUCUGUGUGUGUUUCAAGUUCUGAGUUUUCCCUAUUGAUCAGAGUGUAUCCCUUAAAAGGUAGCUUAAAAUAUAUUAACUUUUCUAGAAAAUAUAAUAUUGUACCAAAGGAGCAGCUGUGUUGGUGGGUGCUUUUGGAAAUUUGAGAGAGUAUAUUUUAUAUUAUUGUUAUAUACAAUAUAUGCAGUAUAUCUUUUAGCAACUGUAGUCAAAAUUUUACAUUUUGCAAACAUAAUCAUCAGCCAUUACCAAUAUCACAAUUGUUUCAAUGAAUACAUAUUAAAUAGAUGUGUAUUUAUGAAAUGUUGUGGCAUAAUCCAAAUGGGAAAACAAUCACAAAUACAUAUUUGGAUCAAUAUUACUAUUUAUUUUAUGGAAAUAUAAACUUUUAAUCAUAAAAAUGCUUUCCCAUAUUGGUAAUAUCAUAAAAAAUAAGGUUAAAAUGCCAGUACUCUGUGGACUAGGAUGAACCCUUUAUUUCUUCAAUGAAAAAUUAAAUGAAUUCUUAUGUGUAUUAUCAAGUUAUUUUUAAUAGGAAAAUGGAAGGUUUUUUUUAAACAAAUAGACUGGAACAACUAGAUAUCCAUGUGAAAAAAAAAAAACAACCGCAGAAUACCUCCUCCUAUAUAAAAUUAAUGAAAAGUGAUCAUUGAUCCUGAUAUAAACUAAAAAUUAUAAAGCUUCUAGAUGAACACCACAGCGUAUUGUUACGACCUUGUGGAGGCGGUGCCAUCACAGAGAGCAGAUAGAAAUACUAACCAUGGGGUGGGCAGUGCCAUCACAGAGAGCAGAUAGAAGGUACUAACCAUGGGGGUGGGCAGUGCCAUCACAGAGAGCAGAUAGAAGUACUAACCAUGGGGUAGGCAGUGCCGUCACAGAGAGCUGAUAGAAGUACUAACCAUGGGGUGGGCAGUGUCGUCACAGAGAACAGAUAGAAGUACUAACCAUGGGGGUGGGCAGUGCCGUCACAGAGAGCAGAUAGAAGGUACCAACCACGGGGUGGGCACUGGGCCUGCCGUGACGACGUGGAUCGGGAUGUAUGCAUUCCAUGCGGAGGACCGUGGGUUGCAGUCCUGCAUGUGAAUGGCAGAUAGGCCCAUGAGCAAGUGUUGAGUCAUCAGGAAAGUGAGAUGUCACCCAGAGCUACCACAGUGACUACAUGGAAAAGACCGAUAAUACUGAAUAUUGGCAUCCAAGGAAUUCUAAUAUAUUGUUGAUAGGAAUAAAAAUGGUAAAUAACUCAGCUUGACAGUUUUUUAAAAAUACCUGAGGGUGCUUCAAAAAGUUUGUGGAAAUAUAAUUAAAAGAUGAGAUUCCUUUGAUGCAAAAAAAAUUGAAAUCCAUGAAUACGAGGGGUAUUCGAACAGUCCAUAGAGAAUGCAUAUUAUGAAAAACGUGUACAAGGCUCUCAAAAAGUUUUUACAACAAAAUAAAGUCCUUAAUUUUUUUUUUUUUUGACAGCCAAAGUAGAUAGUGAGAGAGAGAGACAAAGAGAAAGGUCUUCCUUUUGCCGUUGGUUCACCCUACAAUGGCCGCCACGGCUGGUGCGCUGUGGCCGGUGCACUGUGUUGAUCCGAAGGCAGGAGCCAGGUGCUUCUCCUGGUCUCCCAUGGGGUGCAGGGCCCAAGCACUUGGGCCAUCCUCCACUGCACUCCCGGGCCACAGCAGAGAGCUGGCCUGGAAGAGGAGCAACCGGGACAGAAUCCGGCACCCCGACCGGGACUAGAACCCGGUGUGCUGGUGCUGCUAGGUGGAGGGUUAGCCUAUUGAGCCGCGGUGCCGGCUCUUAAUUUCAUUUUUAUAAAUUUUUGAGUAUUCUAGAUAAUAUGUUUCCCUAUGCUAAUUGGGAGGACUUUAUUCUUAUGGAGCUCGCUCAGUCCAUGCGUAAUGACCAGUUUCUGAGAACUGCUUUGUGGAAGAGCAUCUCAGAAAGAUGCACUUUGUUUUAUCAAAUGCUACGAGUUAGGAACUAUUCUGUAUCUCACUGCUACAUGCAGCCAGGUUUUUGUAAAAACAACUGAUUUCUGUGUAAGUGGCUUUCACCUGAUGAGAAUUGAAUAAAACAUAAGUUUUAUGAACCUCAUUAAAGUAUGAUGCUUCAUAUAUUCUUAUUUUAAUAAAUUUAACUUUCUUACCUAAGAAUAUCAUCUUUGGACUAAGUUAAAUAUAAUAGGCUUGUUUAUAACACUUUCUCUUGCCUUUGUCAUAUAAUAUGAAUAUAGUCACUACUGAAUUUUUGCACAAUAGCUGAAUCUCUGUGUUAAACAGAGAUUUAUACUUAAUACACACAAAUGGAAAAUCUAAAAUCCUUUUUGUUUUUAAAGAAACUGUAAACUGCUUUAUUUCAAAUUAGCUUUGUUGUAGCUUAGCAUGUAUUUAAUUAGUUGCUUAGCAGGUAAUUUGCCCUUAGCAUUGACUUAACUCCAGGGUUUGGACCUUAUUGAUAUAAUUGUGCUAAAGAAUUUUUCUUCUUAUUCACAUGCUGUAAAAACUGGGUGAAGGGGGAGAAGCUGGCAUUCAUAUGUUGGAGCAUCAUAGUCUUCAGUGGGUUAGCACCAGGUAAAGGGUUUUAAAUUUUGACUUAUAAAUUGUCCUUUUAGACUAGGGGACUUAACUGUUUUGUUAAGUGGCACAACUAUUUUUAAUUGCCAUUCGUUAAUUCACUUAUUCAUUCCUUAUUUAAAUGUCAACUAUGAGCAAGGCAUUGUUUUAGCUCCUGGGAUUAGUGGGCACAGAACUGAUGACACUGCCUUUGUCAGUUCAUUUUCUUGGGUGCUGGUAGGAAUAUGAUGGUAAAUAAACAAGUGAUGCAUUGUGGCUGGUGUUGCUAAGUAUAGUGAUUCUUAAAUUGGGAGCCUGCGACCAUUCAGGCAUUUUCUGCAGUAGUCUGUAUGGCAUACACAUUCUGGAGAGAGAGACUCUUAGGAAAGGUUGAGAACCGUUGUCCUAGAGUCUGAUUGGAGUAUAGUUACCAGGUAUUGAUUUCUAUAUAAAUGCAGAGUAGCAGGAGCCUGUGUCAAUUCCCUAGGCAGUUGAUUUCACCGUCUCCUCUUCCCUGUGAUCUGAUUGCAUUUUCUUGGGCAUUGUUUCAUUUAUGUCCCAAUAAUUAUUUAUUGACAAUUAGAACUCGGCCAGUUUCUCUCGUUAGCCUUCCUGAUAUAACAUUGAUGGUGGAGCUAGAAGAUUAUGCCCUACAAUUCUCUUUAUCGUUAUUUCUACCCUCAAGUUACAGAAUAGGGUAAUAUUAUUAACAGGUAAGUGGUUGUAGUAUUAUGUGUUGAUUGCCAAGCAUCAGCGGUUGAAGUUUUCUUUUGACUGUAAAAACUUUUCUGGAUAUAGAGGAUUAGGGGAGUUAUCUUGAUGCUUGUUUUGAAGAUCAUCAUUUGGAGCUAGUAGGCAGAGAGCUCUGAUGUGUAUUUCUGCAAAUCUGUUGAGUUUGGCUUACACUGAUCUUGUAAUUACACGUGAAUAGCACAUGGACAGAGAUGCAGGACUGUGUGCUUGAUGGCCCUUGUAACUCCCAGGGCUCGAGCAGGAACCUCAAGACAGGUUUCUUUGUUCUGAAACUGAGAAAUGAAUAGAUCUUCCGGACAGGAUCACUCCCUUAUUUUGGGGGGGGGGGUCACUUGUCAACAGCACGGACUCCUUAGGUACUAAUAUAACUUUACUUUUCUGUUAGUAGGCUGACAAAAGCUUUCUUUUUAUGUGUAUUUAUUUUUCAUAUAAAGGAUCUUUUACUAAUUUGUAUUUUAACACAAGGGGCAGAUGUCUCCAGCUCUGAGCUGGGCUUUGCAGCAUGUCCUGCCUUUUGAAUGUUUCUUUCAACUUGGGCAGCUCUCUUUGUUAAAGGCCAGACCCCUUAGAGGGAUGUUCUGGGAACGAGGACCCCUUGAUAUUUGAAAGGUGGGAAAUCCAUUUAAAACAUGUGAUGGCUUCCAGCAGCCCUACUGCUGGGUUCUGCUUGUUUUAAUGUAAGUGAUAGAUGUUCUUGCUGGUUGUGUUCAGUAAUUGGAUGUGAACUAUAUAAUAAAGUAACAUUUCAUGGCAGAUGUGAGUGUACUGUGGAUGGCACUUGAUUUCUGUGGUGCCUGCCUUUAGGUUUUAAAGGCAGAAACCAUAAUGGAAUUUAAUUACUAGAGCAUAUAUCCAAAGAUUAGCUCACUACAUUUGUAAUGCCCUUAGUAGUUAGGUACCUGGUGACUGUGCCCGACGCUGUGUGUGAUUGAUAAUGCCAGUGUGUGCAGGGCAGCAGCAGAAAUGCUAAUGCGGCUGUGGAGGGGACUGCCAGCAGCACUUCGUCAGCAGUCUGCUGCCAGAGUGUCUUCUUGGAAAGACAUAAUCUGUAAUCAAAGAGGAGUUUGUGGGAAUAGCAAACACAGACAAAAAUGUUAUGAUAAGAGAUUGUGUUCAUUGCCUUCUUUCAGGGAGCUUUCAAUUACGCCUGAUUAAUGACUUCCUCCCUCCUUGCUUCGGUGUGGGCCUGGCCUCCUUGGCGUAUCACGGGAUGAGGAGGAUCUGUAAUGCUGUGUUUUGGUCUCAGAAGGCUUGUUUCAUAAGAUAGCACGGAGCAGAACAUUUUACAUUCACUAAGAGACGCUUGGUUUCAUAUUCACAGAAUUUGACUUUUUCCAUUCAGAAACGUGAUGCGCAUGUUGAGGAGAGCUGUAGUGUGAAAGGUCAUGGCAUGUAGAGGGGCAGGGAGGGUGUGGGUCCCUCCUGAAGGCAGUUGGGAGCAUGUUAGCUGUUUUGGAAGUUUUAAGUGUAAGAGAAUGUACACCAGAGUGUUGGCACGGAUGGCUGUGAUUACAUAGGCUCAUGCCUGCUCAGUUUUCUUCUCAAAAAGCUUGGCUGGUGUUGGUUCCAGCUCUGUUAGGUUCUGCCUGCCAUCCCCUGCAACGGGAACUCGGUAAAACAGAAUCGGCAGAAAUGCACUGGGGUUGAAAGAAAGGGGGCAGGGGAGGGACACAAGCAUUAAAUAACACAAACAUUAAAAUAAUAUUUUUGAAUAGAUACUAAGUUUGCAUGAUUUAAGAACUGAAGAAUGUGAAAAGGUACAGACAGCCAGCCUGUUAUCCCUGGGCUUAUAUACUUGAGUUCCCGUUUCAUCUAACCUCCCGCCACACAGCUAAUCAUUGUGAUUGCAUUCAUUUGUAUUCUCCACAAUGUCUCUGUGCACGUGCAAGUAAAUAAAAAAGCUAUCAAAUUAUGCACACUAUUCUGCAGUUUGUUGUUGAGAAUGUAUGUUGGAGGGGCUGGCGCUGUGGCGCAGCAGGUUAAUGCCCUGGCCUGAAGCACUGGCAUCCAAAUGGGCGCCUGUUUGAGACCUCGAUGCUCCACUUCCAAUCCAGCUCUUUGCUAUGGCCUGAGAAAGUGGUAGAAGGUAGCCCAAGUGCUUUGGCCCCUGCACCUGAGUGGGGGACCUGGAGGAAGCUCCUGGCUCCUGGCUUCAGGUUGGCACAGCUCCGGCUGUUGCACCCUAUUGGGGAGUGAACCAGAGGAUGGAAGACCUUUCUCUGCCUCUCCUUCUCUCUCUGUGUAACUCUUACUGUCAAAUAAAUAAAUAAAUCUUUUUAAAAACAAAAAAGGUGGCCGGCACACCAGGUUCUAGUCCCGGUCGGGGCGCCAGAUUCUGUCCCGGUUGCUCCUCUUCCAGGCCAGCUCUCUGCUGUGGCCAGGGAGUACAGUGGAGGAUGGCCCAAGUGGGAGACCAGGAGAAGCACCUGGCUCCUGCCAUCGGAUCAGCGCGGUGUGCCGGCCGCGGCGGCCAUUGGAGGGUGAACCAAUGGCAAAGGAAGACCUUUCUCUCUGUCUCUCUCUCUCUCACUGUCCACUCUCUCAAUAAAGAAUUAAAAAAAAAAAAAAAAGGUAUUAGGACACAAUAACAACAGUUUUCCAGUCAUCUGAAAAUUUAGGUAUGGCACCAAACAUUCAGAGUAAUUUACAUAAUCUGAAUAGAAAAGUUUGUGUGUCUUAGACAGACUUGCACAGACAUGGAUGGGAAAAUUGAAUGUGUUUAACAUCCAUGAUUGCAACAGUGGGAAACUGGAAAUGACCCAAAUAUCUUAUCAGUAGAAAAAUUUAUGAACAAGUUAUGGUGUGUGUAUGUGGAAGAUGCACGUCAUUUAAAAUGAGCAGAACUGGGCUGGAAUGAGUCAUGUCAGCCAAAUGCUGAAUGAUCAGAGCAGGUUAUUGAAGAACUUGAAGGGUAUGGUGUUACUUGUGGGAGCCAUAAAAGCAGAGAAGACAAUAACCUACGUAUUUUUAGCUCCUGUUGAUCGCUCCUGUGCAGUCCCUCACACUUGGGGUCACUAACCCAGGGUGUUCGACAGUGAGUUCAAGGUAGAGGUCAUGUCUGGGGAGCAGAACGGCCUGCCCAGCAGAGGGGCACGGGCUGCUGCGUGGGUUCUUGAGUGCUUUAUGGCUGUAGGUAUGUUUGGAUCAUGGUUACGUGUGUGUUUAUACCUUUCUGCAGGUCAGGUGUUUCAUAACAAAAAUUUAAAAACAUAGAGAGGGUAGGAGGAUCCUUAGGGAGUUCUCAUGGACAGGCUUAGCCUUAGCUGAGAGAGUGAGCAAGACAUGCACACUGGAGUUUUCUUUGAUUCUGUAGAUGGUGACCGUGAUGUGUGGAUUUACCAUCGUUUCGGCCCUUUUCUGCCUAUAUAUGUGGCAGCCGAGUAAGAACAUAAUUUUUGCUGCCAUUGUCCAGUGCUUUGGGGUCGACCAUUAAUUUUAAGGUAAAUAAUAUCAGAGGAAUUAAAUAACAGCGUAAAUAAACGUUGCUUGUCUGGGGCUGUAUACUGAGUGGCAGAUUUCACUCCUGAUGAUUUUUUGGAAGCACAUCUGACAUUUUUGGGCUGGGAUGGCAGUGGGUGGUUUGGGAAGCCUGGCAAAGGGCUUCCCCGUGGAAUAGCAGGCUGGGGCGUUGUUCCGUUUCCCCCUUGUGAACCCUCCAUCACCAUCUCCAGGACAGUAUCUGCUGUCUAGCAGAUGCUUGGUAAAUACCGGUUGGGUGAUUUUAAAAUUAGCUUGAAAUAUUUUUUUAUCUUCUGUACUGUUAUCACUGUAGUUUUUAUCUAUAUUCUGGGAAUUUCAGGAGACCAUCUAUGUCUCAGACCAGGAGUUUUAUCUAAUAAAUUAUUUGAAUUUUAAAGAGUUGGAUGCUUGUUUGUAGUGGUCUCUAGCCGUGGAUCAGAGAAGUGUCACAGCCUACUCAAAGUUGCUUGUCUCCGCGUUAACUUCUCUGUGCGCUAAGUGAGGAAGGAAUACAGAUCAGAAGUUUUUUCUGGGAGUCUCUGGUACACUGGCCUUUUCAGCAUAGCAGGUGUCGGUUCUGAAAGCUCAUCUCUGUGGUAAUGGAAGGAGCCCAUCUCGAUUGCUGCGGUAGUUACACAGCUGAAUACAUUUGUGGAGACUAAUUGAGACUGUAAAUACGUUAAUUGUGCAUAAAUUAUAUCAAUAAUUUUUGAAAAUCCGCCAAAACAAGAAACAAAAUUCAGAAGUUAAUUUAUUAUUGAAACUGGAUAGAGUGUAAAAGAUCUUAAAAAGAUCCAACAUUUACAUAUAUAUGUAUGUAGUCGAUGUUGUCUUGGUGCUUGGACGUGAGGGUCCUUUUGGCAAAGAUUAUCCCGUUGUAAAUAAACUGGGGCUCUGGGCCUGUGCCCUUGGCCUUUCUUUCUUCUAAAGCAGUGUUUUCUCAGCUCAGUGUGUAGCUCACUGAAUACACUGAGCUGGGAUUAACGGAGCCUCUCACUUCCUGCUUUCCCUUUCUCUCCUUCAGCCAGGCGUGGGCCUUUGUUGUCUGGCCUGUGCACUGAGAUAAGCUAUCAGGGCAUGUUUGUGUUAGAAAAAUGGUUGUAGACAGAGCAGUUAUAAAUAGACCAACAGGUAUUAAUGGUUCCCGUCUUCCGUUUAAGUCGAAAAGAGAGAGGAAAAAAUAAGAUAUUGAAGACAAGAAGGCUGACUUACAUAAAUUAGGAAAAAAAUGUAAUUUUUCAUUGUUCCUACUGGUUUUUCCUUUUCUUACUCAACCAUUUGAAUUUGUUUAUUGGCAAGUUGAGAAUAUUUGCUAACUAUAGUUGGAUUCCUGUUAUUAUGCAGGCUGAUUUUAUUUAAAUUAAUAAUUUCUAAACCUGCAUUUCUGGUGGCCCCUUAAACUACAUGUACCUGUGCUGCUAAAUUCAUUUUGUUUUAUUGUGUUAUCAGCUGUAUACAAUUACAGGUUGGUUCAGAAAGCAGUAGUACAAAAAGCUUACCACCUGGAGAGGGAGGAAUGUUGCUACAUUCACAUAAAAUAGCUAUGAUCAUUGUUCUAAAAGGGCAUGAUCCAGUAUUGUGAAUUAAUAUUUUUUGUCUUAGUUGAUUUUGUUUAAUAUUGUCAGUUUUCUCAGCUAGGAAACAGCUUCAUUUUCAAAAAGGCUAAUGAGUUUCCCAGAAUUGUAGAUUGCUAAAUAAAGUUACCUAGGGCACUCAUUUCCAACUGCUAUUAUUGGUUCACCACUGUCUUAGAGUAUAUGCCUUCUUCUGAAUGCAGACAAGUGAUUGAUACUUGUUUGAAUGAAACUUUAAAUAUUACUUGAUAUAUUCUGGCCGGUGCUGUGUUUUGGUGGGUAAAGCCAAUGCCUGCAGUGCUGACAUCCCAUAUGGGUGCUAGUUCAAGUCUUGGCUGUUCCACUUCCAAUCCAGCUGCCUGCUAAUGUGCCUGGGAAAGUAGUAGAUGAUGGCUCAAGUACUUGGACCCCAACACCAACAUGAGAGACCCAGAAGAAGCUCCUGGCUCCUAACUUCAGCCUGGCCCAGCCCUGGCCAUUGCAGUCUUUUGUGAGGUAUUCCAGUGGAUAGAAAGUCUCUCUCUCUCUCUCUCUCUCUCUCUCUCUCUCUCUGUCUUUCAAAUCUUUAAAACAAUAUUUCUUGAGACCGGCGCUGCGGCUCACUUGGCUAGUCUUCUGCCUGUGGUGCUGGUACCCUGGGUUCUAGUCCUGGUUGGGGCGCAAAAGUACCUUAAAUUGGAAACCACAGCUGCAUUUUUUUUUUCCUUUUUCUUGCUUGACUUGGUGCUCACUACUGAAAUGUCUUAUUGUAUAAAUAAAAAUAAAAUCUCCUGCUUUUUGUUGGUGUCUCACAUCUGAAUGAAUUUGCGCUUUACGGCUCUCAGUCAUGGUUCUGUUCAAGCAGCAGGCUAAAUCAUUUUAACAACUGGAGCCAGAAAGGAGCCAGCUGUGCAGCCUGUGCACUUCAUCCCGACCUGGGACUGUUCUUAAGUGUGGUCCAGGGGCCUGCAGGGUCGGCCUGGCUGUUCUCAUCAUGAUGCCCAGACAGCAUCUGCCCUUUCCCUCUCAUUCUCUGAUACGUGGACAGUGCUCCUGCACAAGGUGAACCAGGUGUGCUGGCUCCACGGGUGGAAGGCACAAGCAAAAAGGAGAGUCUGUUUCUUACGUUAGGUGGUAAGAGAUUUGCAAACAUAAAAUGAUCACUUGUCUCCCAAGUUUAGCUUUAAACAUUAGAAUUUAUUUUAACAUGGGCAUGUAGCGGGUUUAUUACUGUUAUUCUUAAAUGAACUCAUAAACAAAUCUUUACAGUUUUUCUUAUUUUCUAAUAUAGAAAAUGAUGGUAAGAUACAGCUCACCUAAACAAAAGUGCUUUUGGCUCCUCAGUAAUUUUCAGUAAUCCAAGGAAGUCUGCAGUUAAGAGGUUUGAGAACCCUUGUGAAAAGUGUGCUGACAUAAUGAAACCUUUCAAGAUAUUUCAGCAUUUUCAAUAGGAAAUAUAUUGGUAAUAUAGCAUUGAUCAUGUUACCUUAAAGUCAGCUUGUGAAGUGUCUAGAGAAAUUUGGGAGUCUGUUUGCUGACUUCCCCUUCUUUAUUUUCCUGCUCACUUCAGCCCCUGUCCCCACCGCUGGUGUUCCAAGGUUCUCUAACUUCAGCAGAUGUUCUGUGUAAGAGGUAGUAACUCCCUCAAAAUGUGCAACAUUGCCUCUGCUGCUGUUCUUAUCACCAGGCAACAACAGAAAUGUUACAAAGAUGUCAAACGUUAGGAUAUUUGGGCUCUGUUUUUUAAAGAGUGAAAUACAAUGGAAUGUUUGAGUUUUAUUGAGGAUUAAGAGACAUUUUGCAAUUUCUUAGCUGUGCAGUCUACAAACAGCUGUCUUCUCAUCCUCUGUGGGGGAAAUCCUUUGGAUCAAGUAGAUUUGUGGGUGUGUUUAUUUGAUAUAACCACAGCUGCUUGAAAGAAUGCUGGUGUUUAGGAAGGGAUUCAUUUUGGGUCUUUUCAGCAGGUUUCAGAAUUGUAAAGCACGCUAUCUUUGAAAUUUCUUCUUGAUAAAAUGAUUCAAACAUUAACUUGGAGGCCUUUGAAAGCCUGAAUUUGAUGUUCAGCAUUUUUAUCAGUGUAUUAGUUAAGGUUCUUCAGAGAGACAGAACCAAUAGCAGGUGUAUAUGGAGCACUUCAAAAAGUUUAUGGAAAAUGGAAUAAAAAAUAAGCAAAAAAGGUACAAAAAAUGUGAAAUCCAUGCACGCGGUGUGUGUGGGGGGGUAUCUUUAAAAAGUUCAUGCAAAACACAUAUUAGGAAAAACUGUACGAAUUACAACAUUUUUGUGCCAAAAUAAACUCUGUAUGUCCCAUGAACUUUUUGCAAUAUGCUUCUCACAUGUAUGUACACACAGCUACUUGCAAGGGAACUGGCACACUUGAUUAAGGAGACUUAGCAGUCCCUUCCUUGGCUGUCUACAGGCUGGAGAACCAGGGACCAGAGAAGCAGAUGGUGUCCCUCUCAGUCCACUGCAUGCAGGAGGCUGGAGGCCUGCAGUUGUGUCCAGCUAGGUGUAGAGAGAGCUAAUUCACCUUUUGUCUGCUCCUUUGUUCUGCCUGGGCUCCCACAGCGCCUGGCCACACUGGCAGCUUGGCCUUGCCCUCACCACCUACUCCCCUGGAACCAAACUCCCCCUCCUCCCCCUACACAGAUAGGAGCACUGCCCUAGCAGUAACCAUCCCGGUGGAGGUGAUGUGCAUGUGGACUGAUGUGAGCAGUUACAGAACUGGUCUUGAUUUCAGGACGUCUGUUUCCCUGUGCAGCAUCCUCCCUUACAUAGUGCCUAAUCGAUCUGGGUGCAACAUAGACAGUAGAAGUUCCCUCGUAGGUUACAGGGGAGGCCAAGAAGUAGAAAUUUUUUGCCACAACUACAGCAGUACUUAGUUUUGGUCACUUCACUGAAAACAAAACAAAGCAAAGCAAAGAACAAAAAAUCUGCAUGAAAACAAGAAUUAGUUGUCUGAAAACUUUAGUGUUCAUCUGCAAUGUAACCCACAAAGAAAAUGCCUUAAUGAGUUUUGAUUGCUUAGUUAGUGGUUGAGAGAUGAUUUCGUUUUCAUGUAUGUUUGGGUCCUAUCAAAAUAUUGGUUUACUUUUGUCCACUUUAACUGUAAAAAUAAUUAAACAAAAGAUGAGGUUUUUUUUUUUUUUUAAACAAAGACAUCAAGAAACAGUGUUAUUGAAAUUAUUUCUGGUCAUCGAAGCCUUGGGUUUCAGUGCCUUAUGCAUUGCAUCAUACUUCUGGGGGAAUUUUAUGUAACCAGUCAUUUGUACAUCUUGGCUAAAAAUAUAAGAAAGUCACCUGUCCUCCUAGAGUUAAGUUUUAAUGCUUCAGCGUAUGAUCCAAUGUGAUUUAAAUCUUACACAGACCAGGUGCUGAUGUAAUCUUCUGGAAAGUCUGGCUUGAGUGUCACUCUCAGGUUUUGAAAAUGAACUUGUCGGCUGGCGCCGCGGCUCACUAGGCUAAUCCUCCGCUUGCGGCGCCGGCACCCCGGGUUCUAGUCCCAGUCAGGGCACCGGAUUCUGUCCCGGUUGCUCCUCUUCCAGGCCAGCUCUCUGCUGUGGUCCAGGAGGGCAGUGGAGGAUGGCCCAAGUGCUUGGGCCCUGCACCCACAUGGGAGACCAGGAGGAAGCACCUGGCUCCUGGCUUCGGAUCAGCACGGUGCGCCGGCUGUAGCGGCCAUUUUGGGGGUGAACCAACAGAAAAGGAAGACCUUUCUCUCUCUCUCUCUCUCUCUCACUGUCUGCCUGUCAAAAAAAAAAAAAAAAAAAGAAAAAGAAAAAGAAAAAGAAAA
Non-coding RNA from Oryctolagus cuniculus (rabbit), 37830 nucleotides. The record is from RefSeq and is a predicted model, not a curated record. NCBI's taxonomy places the organism in Eukaryota, Metazoa, Chordata, Mammalia, Lagomorpha, Leporidae.